CCUACGGGGGGCAGCAGUGAGGAAUAUUGGUCAAUGGGCGGGAGCCUGAACCAGCCAAGUCGCGUGAGGGAUGAAGGCACAGCGUAUUGUAAACUUCUUUUGUAAGGGAAUAAAGUCAGGCACUAGUGCCUUUUUGAGUGUACCUUAUGAAUAAGCAUCGGCUAACUCCGUGCCAGCAGCCGCGGUAAUACGGAGGAUGCGAGCGUUAUCCGGAUUUAUUGGGUUUAAAGGGUGCGUAGGCGGCCUGUUAAGUCAGCGGUAAAAGCCUGGGGCUCAACCCCAGAGUGCCGUUGAAACUGGCGGGCUGGAGUAGGAGAGAGGUACGCGGAAUUCGCGGUGUAGCGGUGAAAUGCUUAGAUAUCACGAAGAACGCCGAUUGCGAAGGCAGCGUACC
This 394-nucleotide ribosomal RNA is filed under the name uncultured bacterium. RNAcentral's name for it is "partial 16S ribosomal RNA". It matches the Rfam family "Bacterial small subunit ribosomal RNA", at positions 338 to 730 of the family's 1533-position model. The record is from RNAcentral.